RNAcentral lists this ribosomal RNA (425 nucleotides) under uncultured bacterium. RNAcentral describes it as "bacterial SSU rRNA". It matches the Rfam family "Bacterial small subunit ribosomal RNA", at positions 359 to 776 of the family's 1533-position model. The record is from RNAcentral.
GAAUUUUGGACAAUGGGCGCAAGCCUGAUCCAGCAAUGCCGCGUGAGUGAAGAAGGCCUUCGGGUUGUAAAGCUCUUUUGUCAGGGAAGAAACGGCGCCGGCUAAUAUCCGGCGCUAAUGACGGUACCUGAAGAAUAAGCACCGGCUAACUACGUGCCAGCAGCCGCGGUAAUACAGAGGGUGCGAGCGUUAAUCGGAAUUACUGGGCGUAAAGCGCACGUAGGUGGCGACGUAAGUCGGGUGUGAAAGCCCCGGGCUCAACCUGGGAAUUGCAUUCGAGACUGCAUUGCUGGAGUACGGAAGAGGAGGGCGGAAUUCCCGGUGUAGCGGUGAAAUGCGUAGAUAUCGGGAGGAACAUCAGUGGCGAAGGCGGCCCUCUGGUCCAGUACUGACACUCAAGUGCGAAAGCGUGGGGAGCAAACAGG